This 427-nucleotide ribosomal RNA is filed under the name uncultured bacterium. Its description in RNAcentral is "partial 16S ribosomal RNA". It matches the Rfam family "Bacterial small subunit ribosomal RNA", at positions 355 to 774 of the family's 1533-position model. The record is from RNAcentral.
UGGGGAAUAUUGCACAAUGGGCGCAAGCCUGAUGCAGCCAUGCCGCGUGUAUGAAGAAGGCCUUCGGGUUGUAAAGUACUUUCAGCGGGGAGGAAGGCGAUAAGGUUAAUAACCUUGUCGAUUGACGUUACCCGCAGAAGAAGCACCGGCUAACUCCGUGCCAGCAGCCGCGGUAAUACGGAGGGUGCAAGCGUUAAUCGGAAUUACUGGGCGUAAAGCGCACGCAGGCGGUCUGUCAAGUCGGAUGUGAAAUCCCCGGGCUCAACCUGGGAACUGCAUUCGAAACUGGCAGGCUAGAGUCUUGUAGAGGGGGGUAGAAUUCCAGGUGUAGCGGUGAAAUGCGUAGAGAUCUGGAGGAAUACCGGUGGCGAAGGCGGCCCCCUGGACAAAUACUGACGCUCAGGUGCGAAAGCGUGGGGAGCAAACA